RNAcentral lists this long non-coding RNA (2627 nucleotides) under Olea europaea subsp. europaea. The record is from RNAcentral. Lineage: Eukaryota; Viridiplantae; Streptophyta; Magnoliopsida; Lamiales; Oleaceae.
GAAAGAUCUCUGACUUGAUGAUCGAACUUCGAACUUUGAUAAAUACGAACAAUCUUCAAAUACUGCAACAAAGGCAACGAGAUGUGUGCUCGUCGUCCCUCCGAUGCUUAAGUCAGAUAGGGAAUUUAGUGUGUGAGGCUGUAAACUGGAGAUAAUGAAAAACGUACCUCAAGAAUGAACUCGGGUUAUGUAUUUAUAGGUGCGGAUGAUAGAGUCCUAGAAGAAGAUAAGGAGUUGAUGUUUUAUUCCAAGUAUUCAACCAUUGUUUGAGUUGGCUAGGGAAUCUAGUUAGGUAAGAAUUGCAAGUUGGGGAGAAUUUGUGUUCCCAUAGGUCGCCAAAAAGACAUGACACGACGACACAUAGACCCGACCUUAGAUUGGUGGUUUUGGUGGAGGACAAGUUCAGGGUAAGUGGUUGAGUUCGGGAUUGGGUGAUCACAGGCCCCCGUGGAUCAAGGUCGUAGAUUACGGUCCAAGUCAAAACUACGAGUGAAGAUGCAGAGGUAUAAAUGUCCAGGUGUCGCUCCAUGUGUCACGCGUCUGAUAGAAUGUCAAAACUCGACCUUGGAUGGGUGCCACGUGUCUUGGUCGAAGGGUAGGGAUUAAAAGACCGUUGGUAUUCUACAGUCUCCUAUAAAUACUCCAACUUUCACCAUUCAUUUUCACUUUCAAUUACUCUCAGUAAAAUCGAGCUCGAGUUCAAAGAUUGUGAGUUAGUGAGGGAUCGUCUGAAAAGGUAAGAGUUCGAGCCCUUAAGUUAUUUUUUGAAUUAGUAUAAUUUCGAGUAGCAGUAGUAGUGCAGGGUCGACUGAUAGCGAUAGUAGUCCCCAUCUAGGGUCUCGACCAAUAGUGACAAGCCUGUCGAUAUAGAUGUAUCCCUUAUUCCCCUGGCCAUCCCCAUCAGUUCUCACGUCGAUAGCAACGUCAGCUUGACAUAAUCUAAAGAACCGACCAAAUAUAAAGAGCAUGUUUAUCAUUAAGAUAGCCAGGGAGUUAGGUGUCAUGCCUGCAUGUGAUGUUAGGACCACGGGGCAUACUGAAUGGGAUUGGAUGCUCGGGAAGGGGAGAUGAUAUUUUUCAGGGACGUCCUUAAGGCUGGGCUUAGGUGGCCUCUUCAUCCAUUUUUAUUCCAUUUUCUAUCCUCUUACUACUUGUGCCCGGGCCAAUUAGCCCCGAAUGGUUGGAGACUGUUAGUGUACUUCUUCAUUUUAUAUAGAUGUCUCGAGGUCGAGCCUAGACUAGACCUUCUAAGAAUGGUUUUCGAUAUGAAAUUCUCUCCGGGGUACAACUGCUUCGUCUAUUUAUCAACGAAUGGGGGGUUUAGGACACCAGAGACCCCGAGCUCACUUUGGGGUUGGAAAGAGAGGUUCUUUUUGUGAAACCACAAAACCCUGACCACCCCUUUAACCCAAAGUGGGAGGUAAGGAUAGAUUUAACGAAGGGCAGGCAUACUUCGAGGUAUUAGAACGGGAUACGUUAAGGUUAGUUAACCACAAUCCUUUGGCAGAGAAGAUUGAUUACUUGCUCGAGGAUGACACCCACGACCUUGCCAAUGUGAAAGGCCUCGAGGGUAUGUCCUUUCAUCAUUUUUCUUCUCGUUAAUUAUCCUUGAGCUUAAGGUCGAGCUAAUGUCCUACGAUUUAUUUUUGCAGAUUUGGAGAUGUUUUUCAACCCAUCAAACCUUCUUGCGAAUAUUCAGCACAAAGCUAAGGGUCCAAAGCCUAAGGCCCCGACCCAUCGAAGGGGAAGAAGAGAGCAAGGGAGGUCACUGAGAGGGAGCCCCUGGUGGUUGUGACCCUGACCUUACAUAAAGGUCAGUUCUCGACGUCGAAGGCCCCGACCCCACCACCUCAACAAAGACCUAGGGCGCAAGAUCGAGCUCGGGGAUGUCAGGGCGUUCGAACUUCGACUUCUCUCCCCUCUCUGAUAGUGCCCUCAAGGAGUAUUCUGAGUGCUCCCUCGUGAAGGAUCUUGUUGAUCGAUUAAAAAAAGAGGUCAACAUUCACGAGGGGGUUAAGACAUUGGAGGUCCUAACCUUAAGGGUAAGACAUCAACCUCAAUUGUGUUUCCUUUAUUUGAGUCUUUUUUCAUCGGACUAACGUCAUGUUUAUUUAUGCAGACGUUGAGCGUAGCAAGAGGCCUUACCUUGAAUGGCCUCAAUAUUGUGAGCAAGCUGCAAGAUCUUGAGAAGGAGAAACAGCAAGCUGACAGUCGAGCUAAUGACCUUGAAAAAGCUCUUGAUGCAGCGAGGGCCGAACUCCAAAAGGCUCGAGAGGAGGUCGAGGUCCACAAGGGGGAGGCUCAGGAAGCAAAGCUCGAGCUUCUUGAGUCCAAGAAAGGUUUCAAAGAGGAAUUGGUGAGAGCACGUGAAUAAGCUCGAGCUCAAGCUGUUGAGGACUUCAAGAAAUUAGAAGAGUUCGGGACCCUCCUUGGUCAAUAUGGCUCAGGUUCCUAUCAUUAUGGCUUGCGGACUGCUCGAGCUCGAGCUCUCUACCUCGGAGGUUGAUGAUGAUGAUGACGAUGAUGAUGGUAUCACGAUGAUGUCAGGGUUGUUGACAUAGUUUAGAUUCCCCGACCCCAAAUUAGACAUUAUUGUAACUAUUUUUGCUCAUGUACAUUGUUCGAAC